AUUGAACGCUGGCGGCAGGCUUAACACAUGCAAGUCGAGCGGGGUGAUGGUGCUUGCACUAUCACUUAGCGGCGGACGGGUGAGUAAUGCUUAGGAAUCUGCCUAUUAGUGGGGGACAACGUCUCGAAAGGGAUGCUAAUACCGCAUACGUCCUACGGGAGAAAGCAGGGGAUCACUUGUGACCUUGCGCUAAUAGAUGAGCCUAAGUCGGAUUAGCUAGUUGGUGGGGUAAAGGCCUACCAAGGCGACGAUCUGUAGCGGGUCUGAGAGGAUGAUCCGCCACACUGGGACUGAGACACGGCCCAGACUCCUACGGGAGGCAGCAGUGGGGAAUAUUGGACAAUGGGGGGAACCCUGAUCCAGCCAUGCCGCGUGUGUGAAGAAGGCCUUAUGGUUGUAAAGCACUUUAAGCAAGGAGGAGGCUCUUUUGGUUAAUACCCAAGAUGAGUGGACGUUACUCGCAGAAUAAGCACCGGCUAACUCUGUGCCAGCAGCCGCGGUAA
This 503-nucleotide ribosomal RNA is filed under the name uncultured bacterium. RNAcentral's name for it is "partial 16S ribosomal RNA". It matches the Rfam family "Bacterial small subunit ribosomal RNA", at positions 30 to 523 of the family's 1533-position model. The record is from RNAcentral.